CCCUUAGAUGUUCUGGGCUGCACGCGCGCUACACUGAUGCGCUCAACGAGUUUUAACCUUGCCUGGAAAGGUUGGGUAAUCUUUUUAAAACGCAUCGUGAUGGGGAUAGAUUAUUGCAAUUAUUAAUCUUCAACGAGGAAUUCCUAGUAAGCGCGAGUCAUCAGCUUGCAUUGAUUACGUCCCUGCCCUUUGUACACACCGCCCGUCGCUCCUACCGAUUGAAUGAUCCGAUGAAUAUCAUGGAUUGAGGAUGCAAGUAGGUUCGCCUAUCUUCAUCUUCGAGAAGUGAAGUAAAUCUUAUCAUUUAGAGGAAGGAGAAGUCGUAACA
This 328-nucleotide ribosomal RNA is filed under the name uncultured eukaryote. RNAcentral's name for it is "partial 18S ribosomal RNA". It matches the Rfam family "Eukaryotic small subunit ribosomal RNA", at positions 1470 to 1796 of the family's 1831-position model. The record is from RNAcentral.